AAAGCUCCUACUUCAACAUUUCUGAAGAAAGCUGCUGCCGGAGAAGUAACGUUAGGACACAGAACAAGUUUGUGACUGACUUAAUGAACCCAGUUGGUUUGGAUCAUGCUCAGAGAUGUAAGGGUUACAAAAAGUUAACCAGAACUCUUAUGAACUCCAUCUUGUCUUUCAAAGAGAUGGCAACAUGAACGGAAAAAAAGGGGUUGUUGGUGAAAAAAGAGCCUUGACCUACAAAAGGUGCAGCUAAUAAUUGACUAUGUCAAAAAGAGGCACCCAGGCAUCGGAGGCACUGAGAUCAAGGUCUGCAUGACACAAAAGUUAAGAGAUCUGAGGAGACGAGCAGAAAGAUGACUGUGGUGAAGAUGGAUGAAGAUGGAUGAGGCUUUCAAGUGCAGGAUCUACAAUUGUUUUCGUUUCACCUUUUCAUUUUGCCUGUUUUGAAUGUGAUGCACAGCCUAGGCCUAUAUAAUUGUGUUUUUUUGUCUGUUUUUAAUCAACAAUUAAACAAAUGA
Pimephales promelas (fathead minnow) is the source of this 512-nucleotide non-coding RNA. The record is from RefSeq and is a predicted model, not a curated record. NCBI's taxonomy places the organism in Eukaryota, Metazoa, Chordata, Actinopteri, Cypriniformes, Leuciscidae.